This 264-nucleotide ribosomal RNA is filed under the name uncultured bacterium. RNAcentral's name for it is "partial 16S ribosomal RNA". It matches the Rfam family "Bacterial small subunit ribosomal RNA", at positions 90 to 354 of the family's 1533-position model. The record is from RNAcentral.
UUCGAGUGGCGGACGGGUGAGUAACGCGUGGGUAACCUGCCUUACACAGGGGGAUAACACCUGGAAACAGGUGCUAAUACCGCAUAAGCGCACAGGGCCGCAUGGCCCGGUGUGAAAAACUCCGGUGGUGUAAGAUGGACCCGCGUCUGAUUAGCUUGUUGGCGGGGUAGGGGCCAACCAAGGCGACGAUCAGUAGCCGGCCUGAGAGGGUGGACGGCCACAUUGGGACUGAGACACGGCCCAAACUCCUACGGAAGGCAGCAG